Molecule: ribosomal RNA, 415 nt
Filed under: uncultured archaeon
Lineage: Archaea
Description: bacterial SSU rRNA
Rfam family: Archaeal small subunit ribosomal RNA
Source: RNAcentral
CCGCGGUAAUACCAGCUCUCCGUGUGGUGUGGACGUUUAUUGGGCCUAAAGCAUCCGUAGCUGGCUGAACAAGUCCCCUGUUAAACCCACCGAUUUAGUCGUUGGCGUGCGGGGGAUACUGCUUGGCUAGGGGACGAGAGAGGCAGACGGUAUUCCCGGGGUAGGGGUGAAAUCCUAUAAUCCCGAGAAGACCACCAGUGGCGAAGGCUGUCUGCUAGAACGCGCCCGACGGUGAGGGAUGAAAGCUGGGGGAGCGAACCGGAUUAGAUACCCGGGUAGUCCCAGCUGUAAACGAUGCAGACUAGGUGUUUGGACGGCCACGUGCCGUUCUAGUGCCGCAGGGAAGCUGUUAAGUCUGCCGCCUGGGGAGUACGAUCGCAAGGUUGAAACUUAAAGGAAUUGGCGGGGGAGCACA